GGGUUCACCUCACCACGGGGUUUGCAUAAUGCACAUCUAGGUCAUCUUAGUGAAGAGACGGAGCGUUUGCAUUUGUGCUGCAUUCACGAUGAUGCGGAGGAAAAGGUGUCGAGGGCUUGUUGCAUGUGGAGCGUGGCCGCGCCUGCAUCUCGGACGAGCCUUCGUGUCAGGAAGGGGUUGCUGCAGGAUGUUUCCCUGUGUUGCAGCAAGUGAUUAGUGAUUAGAGCCAUCUUCUCUCUACAGGCCACUGAGGGGCUGGCAGCCUAAGUGAAUGACGUAUAGCUGCAUCGCAUACUGGCGAGAAAAACACCCUGCACGACUCGGUUGAUGCACAGGCUGCACAGCGCGACGUGUUACCUCCAGCCGGAUAACUAGAAUUUAACCACCGAAAGGCAUUUAGGAAAACCAUAGUUUUUAGAUUUUUGAAUAUGCAUUAGUGAUAUUAAGAUGACUUAAUUUCCCUCAGGCCUUUUAUUUCUCUAACUUGGUUACUUUUGCCUCAUUUGCAGAGCCACAUAAGAAACUGAGACCUGAUUUCAGUUCACUUAGUACUAUUUAAUGUGAUUACCGAAGCUAUAAGCAUACAAUAUGUACGCCCUGCUUGCUGUUCAUGCUCCUCAGAGUCAGACGGUUGCAUUCAUCUCUGCAUAUCUUGUCGUAAAUGAAUGAGAAUGAAGCCUUAAAAUCUGCAUAUAUACAAAUGGAGCUGAACGAUUUGAAAACAGCUGCAAGUUUAAACCUUCUCUUGCUACAGCUUGUCAUGACCCCUUCAGUUAAAGUUAUAUAAAUUUGGAUAUAAAAAGGAUGUAUUAUUCAGCCCUGCGUACAAGCAUAUACAUAAAAUCCCUAAUGGGGGGGGGGGGGUACAGUGUAGCACACAUUGAAUAGGUUUCUUAACCUAGACAGUGGGUCUGUUUUAAUUUGUGAGAGAAGAGACUGACCGUCUGGUCACAAAGUAAAAUGGGUGUUGAGCACCAAAGCCUUGACAUACAGUAUGCAUUAGGUCAUGUUAGACUUGAAUGUACAGCUAAAACCUCAAGUUGAUUGAUUGUAUCUUAUUGGCAACAAUUUAGAUAAUCGAUUAAAGUAGUGAAAAAUUCCCAGGUUUGGAUUCUCAAACGUGGUGUUUGAUAUCGUAAGUUGAAUAUCUUUAGGGUUUCUGACUGUUGGUCGAACAAAACGACAUUUAAAUAUGUCACCUUGGGUUCAGAGAACGUGUCAUGGACAUUUUUCAAUAUUAGCUGACAUUUUAUAGACUCAAUGAAAAUAAUCGAUAGACUAAUCAAAAAUGAAAGUGGUCGUUGUUGCAGCUCUGUUGAGUAUAGCUUCACAGUAGGGAAGAACACUCUGAUUAUUUUAGACCUUGUUUUAAUUGAAGUUUUCAGUGGUGGUGUCAAUCGCCUGCUGGAGCUUCUGGUUUAUUGGUGGCCGGUUUUUCACCUACCUCACCAGCCUGACAGGAGGGUAGGCUUUCAUGCAGAUAAUGUGAGAGCGCCACCAGUAGCCAGGAAGCUGCAGCUACCCGCUCUUCAUGCGGCACCGGGAGCUGUUAUGUUAUGUGUCAUGAUCAGGUAUGAAUAUCUGAAAGGCUGGAAGUUGUACAUAUUUUGAGAAAGUUAGGUCAGGCAAAAUCACAGUAUAUACCUGGAGGCACCGUUGCACCAAUGCUGCUCUGUCUCUAACUUCUCGGGGUGUUUUAGGCUGUUGUACACAGGGCUGCAAAGCAAUAGGAAGGAUUCCUCUAUGACUACUUGAUUUUGAUAUCUUUUUCAUCAAUGUGAUGAAGUGCCUUGAUUUAUUACAACAAGUAUUAAUAUCUGGGCAUAACACUUCAUGUACUAUGAUUAAACUUGUUGUCCAUAAUAUUGACAACAAUUUUAGAAUUGGGUGAUGUGAACUCCAUAUCACCCAAUUCUUUUAGCAGAGGUGGUAAGCCACCCACAUCCCGAUGCGUCUCGUCUUGUGAUCCAUUUAGUCAUGGAUGACGGCCUUAAUAACAGCCACACCUAUUAAAUCCAUAUAACUGUGUUAUUUGCGGGGUGAAACGGAACCUAUGCACGCCUUCCUGAAAAUUACUGUUUUAUUUCAUAAAAGUAUGCAGAAGGAGCCCACCUCCACCAUAAAACGCCAAGAAAAGUUGAAUCCUAUAAAAACUAAAUCCAAAAUGUCUGUUUAAUAAAAUGGGUGAUUUCACGUAGAAAAGCUUCAAAGUGAUAUUCAGCAGUAGGCUGUUACAGAGUAUACACAUUAAACCACCCGGGGCACUUAAUGUCCAUAAUUGCCAAGUAAUUGUACAUGGAGCAGCUCCAGAGAGUAGUGCUUAAAUACAUUCGUGGACCUUAAUUACCUUUUCAAAGAUUAAUGAUAUCAAGUACUUUGCCUGAUAAAAGAAGAGUUAACACGUCUUCGGUUUCAGCUCAUUCUCAUGUGCCUCUUUAGUGUUUUUUGAGCAUGGUGUGUCACCUUAUGUGCUCAGCACAGCUUGAAAAUUUUAGCAUUUAAUGCUUAAGGAAAAAGGAAUGCAAAAUAUACAAAUUAAAUCCAAUGUGGGAUCUGAAAUUGCAGAAACAAAAAAUAUAAAAUGCUCUAAAACAAAUAAAAUAAUAAAUAAGGGAAAUCUAGGCCCUAUAGUGUAAAUAAUAUAAUAAUAAAAUAAAAAAUGAACAUAACUUGAUAUCUUUACAAUAGGAGCAAAGUCUCAGGUGUAUUCUGAAUUUUUUUAAAUUAUAAUUUAAUGUCUUCAGUCGUAGUGCGACUCAAGAAAAGUCCUGUGUACUGUCUGUGCGCUGAAUAAGUGAUAUCACAAUGGCUGCCAGACUUGUAAUUGCACAUGCCUUCAAUACCAGUCAUGUGUUUGUGCCAGGGUUAAUGGAGGGAGUGGAGUCUCGCCUUUUCUGUGGCUUUAUGUAUGAUACGAGGAGGAGGAGGUGGCACACGGUCCUUGUGGAUUUGUCUAUCAUAGAUGGUUUGUGGCUCUUGUGCAACAGGCCGCAGGAGCAGCUGUCACCAUGCCAGCCAGACCAAUCACAAGCGGGUGUUGUAAAUGAUAU
Etheostoma spectabile (orangethroat darter) is the source of this 3050-nucleotide long non-coding RNA. RefSeq lists it as uncharacterized. The record is from RefSeq and is a predicted model, not a curated record. NCBI's taxonomy places the organism in Eukaryota, Metazoa, Chordata, Actinopteri, Perciformes, Percidae. The transcript has 2 exons.